GACGAACGCUGGCGGCGUGCCUAAUACAUGCAAGUCGAACGCAGUGGGGACGGGUGAGUAACAAGUGGGUAACCUCCCAUCAGAGGGGAUAACACUUGGAAAAAGGUGCGAAACCGAUACUGAUGGAUGGACCCGCGGUGCAUUAGCUAGUUGGUGAGGGAACGGCUCACCAAGGCCACGAAUCAUAGCCGACCUGAGAGGGUUAUCGGCCACACUGGGACUUAGACACGGCCCAGACUCCUACGGGAGGCAGCAGUAGGGAAUCUUCGGUAAUGGACGAAAGUUUGACCGAGCAACGCCGGGUGAGUGAAGAAGGUUUUCGGACUGUAAAACUCUGGUAUUAGGGAAGCGGUACCUAAUCAGAAAGCCACGGCUAACUACGUGCCAGCAGCCGCGGUAAUAC
Molecule: ribosomal RNA, 403 nt
Filed under: uncultured bacterium
Lineage: Bacteria
Description: partial 16S ribosomal RNA
Rfam family: Bacterial small subunit ribosomal RNA
Source: RNAcentral